Molecule: long non-coding RNA, 2149 nt
Organism: Ruditapes philippinarum (Manila clam)
Lineage: Eukaryota; Metazoa; Mollusca; Bivalvia; Venerida; Veneridae
Exons: 3
Source: RefSeq, a predicted model, not a curated record
ACCCAGUAUAUUUUGUGUAAGAUUUUUUGUAAAUUAAGCUUCAGAUAAAUAUGUGGAUAGAGUAACAGUAAAAAAAUAAUUUGGAGAGAACGAUUAAAGAGCUAGUUAGUUAGUAGUUGGUUGGUUAGUUAGUUACAAUGUAGUUAAUUAGUUAUGUAGCAGAUAAUAAUGUGUAUAUCGAGUUUAAAGACCAGUUAUUAGAUACUGCGGAAUGCUUCUAACAUAUUUAUUGAAUUUUCUUCAAACUGUUUGGAGUUUAACUGCUUGUCACAUGACAACCAAUUGAUAUGACAGAUAUAACUAGAAAUGCAAAGGAUAUACCUAAAAUAUUCCGCAAUAUUUUGUAAAAUAAAAAUGAUUUUAUGACAAAACCACUUACAUACUAAGAAAACUUACAAACUUUUAAAUGUUCUUUUUUACCGAUGCGUGAACACUGUUUAUUAAGCUAGCUUAGCAAUAUCUGACUUGUUAUGUAACCAAAUCGGAAAGUGCAUGAAUUGAUGAUGUUUUUAUUUCAAAAUACAUGUUUUGAAAUUAGAAAGAACCAAAUUGACUGAAAUCUGCACACUUAACGCCAACCACCGGAACUUAUAAUUUGAAUAUAAAAAAGAUUUCUGCACAAAAUACAACUUAUCUUUGACUAUUUCAGAGGCGAACGUUCGUACAAAAUAAAGGAUACAUGAUCUGUGAAUAUUGAAUUUCUGCAAAUAUAUAUCAUGGAGGAACAGUUGAGUUUUCGAUUACACAUUUUGUUUGUACCUUUGGUCGUGGCAUUUAAAGAUAUCGACAUGGAAAGGGAAUUGAAACUUUCCCGACGGUUAAUUUGCAAACGACAUGGUCUAUCGACAGUAGCUUCCGAGAAAGAGAAAAGUUCUAGGACAGAUUGUUGAUCAGAACUCGUUUUUCAAACUGUACAAUCGAAAUGUCGUGAAUAAUUGAAAGUGUGUUAAAUGCAAACAAGGCUUUUAAAAUACCUGCAGAAAAACAACUUGAUAGUAUUUGUCUUUUUCAAAUUAAGGAAAACGUGGAUGACUUUUAUUUGUAUCUAGAAAUUUGUUUUGCUAGUAUGAUUCUUUCUUCAAAAAAUGAUAAUUUUGUACAUUUAUUUUCAAUCGUUUCACCUGUUUUGUCAUGACAUGAUGUCUCCUGGUGAGCUGAUACCUCUUGUAUAUUACAUGUUUUCACAAGAUUAUUUUAAACCGGAUCCUAAUACAUGUAUAUACCUUGAUGUAAAAGAAAAUGGUGAGAUUUUUAUCUUAAUUAGUUUAUGAAUUAUAUUUAUAACUUCGAGAACAUCUAAAUGGUUUCUAUAAAAAUAAAGUCAACAACCGAGGAUAUCCAAAUGUUUACUAUAACAAAUUUUGAAAAUUUCAAAAUGAUUUAUUGGAAUCAACUUUGCAUUUUGAAGUCUAGAAACUGAAACAAUCUGUAAUCUAAAAAAUAAAAAAACAUGUAUGUUAAAAUAUAUUUAAGAAUGUAUUUUUUGUUAAAAAUGUGUGUAUUGACUAUAUUCUUAAAGAUACACUAUGCUCAUCUUUGUGUAAAAUAUUUUUAUCUUAGAAAUGUAUUGAAAUCAAUGAAAUUCUUCCUGAAUAUGUUUAAUUUGAAUUAAAUAAUGAAGAAACUAUGUAUGGGAAGCAGCAUUCCUUAUUACGGGUUAAUUAAAGUUGGUAUUUUCUUAAAAAAAAACUGCCAUUUUUUUUAAUGACACUAUAUAUUUAUAUUGUGACCACCUGUAGUAUGUAGAGUUCAAAACAUAACAUAUCUACUUUAAAUUAAGCCGGACCCUGUUUAUUUUAUACAUACAAAGUGACUUUGUAGCAAUUAUCAAUAUUUUUAAAAAUCAAAUUUGAGCAUAGUAUAUCUUUAAGUGUAUGAGAGCAUCUGCAUUAAAGAUAAUAUUCACGCUAUAAAAUGUAUAACUUCAUAUCCUGCUGUGUGUAUGUUUACUAUCCAUGCUUUAAUAAUUUUAUAGACUGCUAUUUUUAUCAUUUAUUUACAGGACUGUUGUGUUGUUUUGUUUAGUAAAGGCCGUUGCCAAUACCACCUAUGUGUUCAAUCUAUAAUUGUUCAAUUGUUCAAACCUUAUUUCAUGUGAGAUAUGUAUAUAAGAUAUGAAUAUAUAUAUAUAUUAAACUGCAUAAUUUUA